ACCGAGGAACGGGAAAUACUUGCCUGGCAUAAGGAGAGACCAGCCUCGCAUACAUUUCUAUAAAAAAAAAUCCAGACUACAGUAAUACUCGUUUUAAGGAUUUUCGAAAACCGUUAACGUUUUUAUUAAACUAUUCCAUUAAAUGUGUACACAGGUUUUUACAAAUAUUUAACACUAACGGUACUGUACUUCCCUUCCUGCCUCCGCCAAAUACGUUACACAACUACGACCAACUGUGACGUAAUGGAUUAGUAAUGUAACGACACCACCGCCUCACAGUGUUGUGGCAACGUUAUCCGAAGGUAAAAGAAUGACCACAUAAUUGGUAAUCUUCCUUACCUGCUCAGUACAUUGCAGCAACGUAAGUACACAACAUACAGACAAUGUAACUACUUAUGUCCCUGUUUGGUUACGAUUUUACAUAACUACAACUGUCAAAUUUAACCUCCUAUUUCUGUUGCUACAACCAGAGGCGUUGCUAAGAUCUCAAUAAAUUCGGAAAUAGCACACCCCAGCCACCCCGGGAUAGAAAGAACUGGGUUGAAGAAAAUUGGAAUGUACAUGCUAGUGGCCUACGCGUAUACAUUGUCAUAGUGUGUGAUCGGAAUUAUAGAUGCAUAGAUCAGGGGCUAUUUUUUUUUUGUCAAUUUGAGAUCCAUGGCUAUUCAUAAAAGGCCCGGGGCUAUAGUCCUAAACGCCCAUGCCUAACGAUGUCACUGGCUACAAUUUACUUUGAUUAUGAUGGCAUUACUUGCCACCACAUCAGAAACCACAUAUACCUUAGUUUAGCCCAUAUGAAGAUCUUUAAAGAAUUCCCCAAUCCCAGCAAUUCAUCUCAUCUUCAUCCGCGUAUCGGGUCGCGGGGGCAGCAGCUCCAGCAGGGGACCCCCAAACUUCCCUUUCCCGAGCCAUAUUUGCCAGCUCUAACUGGCCUGGGAACGCCUCGGGAACCCCCAAUGUCGAAAUAUAAUCUCUCCACCUAGUCCUACCUAGUCCAUCUCUAAUGGAGAAGCCAGCCACCCUUCUGAGAAAACCCAUUUCAGCCGCUUGUACUCGGGAUCUAGUUCUUUUGGUCAUGACCCAGCCUUCAUGACCAUAGGUGAGGGUAGGAACGAAAAUUGACCAGUAUAUCGAGAGCUCUCUUUUCGUCACAACGUUGCGGUAAAACGAAUGUAAUAUUCUCCGGCUCCAUUGUCCCCUCACUUGCGAACAAGACCCAGAGAUACUUGAACUCCUUUACUCGGGGUAACGCCUUAUUCCCUACCCGGAGUAGGCACUCCAUCGGUUUCCUGCUGAGAACCAUGGCCUCAGAUUUAGAGGUGCUAAUCCUCAUCCCAACCGCUUUGCACUCGGCUGCGAACUGGUCCAGUGAGUGCUGAAGGUCACAGACCAAUGAUGCCAUCAGGACCACAUCAUCCGCAAAAAAGAGGGAUGAGAUCCCCAGCCCACCAAACUGCAACCCCUCCCCACCCCGACUACGCCUCGAUAUUCUGUCCAUAAAAGUUACAAACAGGAUUGGUGACAAAGCGCAGCCCUGUAGUCUAUAGUAUAGUAUACCUGGAUUGCUGCUGCAGGUACACUGUAGCACAAGUUUUCUGUAAACGUACCUGGCUAACUAGCUACUACAGCUAGCUAACACUACAACGACAUUAACAAACAGCUUAGUUGUUAAGCCGGCAUAAUUUCUGGAGCACCGUCAUCAUUUCUGGACAAGGAUCUCAGGGAAGCUUAUUUAACUUCUUUACAAAGCAGAUAACUAAAAUCACUGAAAAUGGAACAUUUAGAAUGAAUGACUGGGAAUGACGUGUCUGUAGAAAGAGAACAAAGCCUAAACAAUUGGGUUGUGUCUGUAGCAACCAAAACAUGAGAGAGCUCAAAUUCACACAUAAAAUAUGUAAACAUAAAUGAAAACACAUUCUGUCUAGUGGUAAACAUAGCACAAAAAUGUUUUGAUUAGGGGGUUCUGAGUACAGCUGAGCAGAGGGGGGAGAAAGAUAAUGGACGGAUGAACACGCCAUGUUACUGUCGAUCAAAACUAAAAGUGCCUGUCGAAUCUCAUUAUCUGUGCUGAAACCACAACAGAGGGUGUCAGCAGUAUCACCAGCACCCCUACUUCCCACUGCUGUGCUAGGAAAGGUUUGCUUAAGUUGUUGUUUUUGGCCACUGGGGUAUAAGACGGAUAAACAGCUCAGUACAUUGCCUCUGAGUAACGAACUCCAAGAAG
Esox lucius (northern pike) is the source of this 2224-nucleotide long non-coding RNA. The record is from Ensembl. Lineage: Eukaryota; Metazoa; Chordata; Actinopteri; Esociformes; Esocidae.